Molecule: non-coding RNA, 441 nt
Organism: Maylandia zebra (zebra mbuna)
Lineage: Eukaryota; Metazoa; Chordata; Actinopteri; Cichliformes; Cichlidae
Source: RefSeq, a predicted model, not a curated record
GCAACUAUAAAUACACACAGUUAUGUGUUUAUAUCUAUGCUAAUUGUGUGAAAUUGCUAGAGCUGUUCAACAGAUUUUCACUCUGAAAAACUGAGGAGAUCAGGAGCUCCUGCAUAUGCAGUUGCAUGUGCAGAUGGGUUGAUAGAGAUGUCGGUGAUUGCGCUGCGCUGAAACAUCCCCUUCACAUAGUCUGCAGUAUGUUAAGGAGCAAGCCAACACUGACAUGGCCAGGAACAGGAAGGUUCAGCAUGAGCUUGAGGAAGCUCAGGAGCGCGCUGACAUCGCAGAGUUGCAGGUCAACAAGCUGAGAGCAAAGAGCCGUGAAAUUGUCAGGGUCAAGGAGACAUGAAUGAACCGCAGUCUGGAUGAAAUCACACAAUAUGAGCUUUUUUGUCUGAUGUACCAACUACGUGACAAGAAAUGAACACACAAGCAGUUGAA